This is an RNA transcript of Solanum dulcamara, 1556 nucleotides long. It is a transcript of the gene named squalene synthase-like, with no coding region annotated. NCBI's taxonomy places the organism in Eukaryota, Viridiplantae, Streptophyta, Magnoliopsida, Solanales, Solanaceae. The transcript has 13 exons. The record is from RefSeq and is a predicted model, not a curated record.
GUCUAUAUUUUUCUCAUCCUUUAUAGUACAUAUAUACACUAUAAAUUGACACUCCUUAAUAAAACAAAUUUAUAAGAAUGGGGAUGAUGGGGGAGAUUUUGAUGCAUCCAGAUGAAUUAUAUCCAUUGAUGAAGCUCAUGUUAUCGGCUAAACGUGUCAAGAAGAAGACGUCUGUGUGGCUGUUGCAGCCACACUGGGCCUUCUGCUACGAUACUCUCCGGAAGGUGUCUCGUAGCUUUGCCCUCGUAAUUCAACAACUUCCUAGCGACCUUCGUGACGUGGUUUGUGUUUACUAUUUGGUUCUUAGAGCACUUGACACUGUUGAGGAUGAUACCAGCUUAGCCAUUGAGGUUAGAGUACCUAUCUUGAGAAAUUUUUAUUGCAACUUCUAUGAUCCUCAAUGGCAUUUUUCAUGUGGUACAAAGGCCUUCAAAGUUCUCAUGGACCAAUUCCAUCAUGUUUCCACUGCUUUCCUAGAACUUGAUACAAAUUAUCAGGUGGUGAUUAAGGAAAUUACCAAGAAGAUGGGUGAAGGAAUGGCCAAGUUUUUAUGCAAGGAGGUAGAAACAAUGGAUGAUUAUAAUGAAUAUAGUUAUUAUGCAUCUGGACUAUGUGGAUUGGGAUUGUCAAACUUUUUUUAUAUUUCUGGAAGAGAAGAUUUAGCACCAGAAUCCAUCUCGAUUUCCGUGGGUUUAUUUCUUCAGAAAAUAAGCAUCAUUAGAGAUUAUCUAGAGGACAUAAAUGAAGUACCAAAAUGUCGUAUGUUUUGGCCUCGUCAAAUUUGGAGUAAAUAUGUUAACAAACUCGAGGACUUUAAGUACGAGGAGAACUCGGUCAAGGCAGUACAAUGUCUCAACGAAAUGGUCACUAAUGCUUUAUUAUAUGUAGAGGAUUGUCUGACAUGCAUGUCUAAUUUACGAGAUCCUGCUAUCUUUCAGUUCUGUGCAAUUCCGCAGAUCAUAAAUAUGGGGAAUUUGACGAUGUACUACAACAACGUUGAAAUUUUCAAAGGUGUUGUUGAAAUGAGACGAGGCCUCUGUGCAAAGAUUAUUGAUCAGACGAGGACGAUGGCUGAUGUCUACGGAGCUUUCUUUGACUUUUGUUGUAUAAUGGAAUCUAAGGUUGAUCGUGAUGAUCCAAAUGCAACGAGUACUUUGAAGAGGCUUGAAGCAAUUUUGAAAACUUGCAGAGACUCGGGAACCUUAAAUCAAAGGUUUUUUUUAUGUUUCCUUGUACCCUCCUCAGAACGCACUUGUGGAAUUACACGUUGUUGUUCUUUUAUGGAAAUUCUUGACAAUAUCAGUUGUGACUUUAUUUUACCACCAGGAAAUCUUACACAUUCAGCCAUCAGCCUAAUUAUAAUAUUCCAGUUUUGAUUAUCUUAUUUUUCAUCAUGCUGGCUAUUCUUUUAUCAACAAGAACACCUUAAGGGACCAUAGGUUUGAUGCAGAAGAAAAACAGAGGCCUAGUCAAACAAGUUAAACCAAUGUUGUAACAUUUUAAAAAAUUAUUUAUGUAUACAUAAUAUCCUUUGAACAGUAUAAAAAUAUUAUAUA